RNAcentral lists this ribosomal RNA (466 nucleotides) under uncultured Glomus. Its description in RNAcentral is "SSU rRNA". It matches the Rfam family "Eukaryotic small subunit ribosomal RNA", at positions 569 to 1037 of the family's 1831-position model. Lineage: Eukaryota; Fungi; Glomeromycota; Glomeromycetes; Glomerales; Glomeraceae. The record is from RNAcentral.
AGCAGCCGCGGUAAUUCCAGCUCCAAUAGCGUAUAUUAAAGUUGUUGCAGUUAAAAAGCUCGUAGUUGAAUUUCGGGGUUAGUAGGUCGGUCAUGCCUCUGGUAUGCGCUGGUCUCACUGAUUCCUCCUUCCUGAUGAGCCGUAAUGCCAUUAAUUUGGUGUUGCGGGGAAUCUGGACUGUUACUUUGAAAAAAUUAGAGUGUUUAAAGCAGGCUAACGCUUGAAUACAUUAGCAUGGAAUAAUGGAAUAGGACGUUCGAUCCUAUUUUGUUGGUUUCUAGGAUUGACGUAAUGAUUAAUAGGGAUAGUUGGGGGCAUUAGUAUUCAAUUGUCAGAGGUGAAAUUCUUGGAUUUAUUGAAGACUAACUACUGCGAAAGCAUUUGCCUAAGGAUGUUUUCAUUAAUACAAGAACGAAAGUUAGGGGAUCGAAGACGAUCAGAUACCGUCGUAGUCUUAACCAUAAAC